RNAcentral lists this ribosomal RNA (278 nucleotides) under Enterobacter roggenkampii. RNAcentral's name for it is "partial 16S ribosomal RNA". It matches the Rfam family "Bacterial small subunit ribosomal RNA", at positions 150 to 430 of the family's 1533-position model. The record is from RNAcentral. Lineage: Bacteria; Pseudomonadati; Pseudomonadota; Gammaproteobacteria; Enterobacterales; Enterobacteriaceae.
CUGGAAACGGUAGCUAAUACCGCAUAACGUCGCAAGACCAAAGAGGGGGACCUUCGGGCCUCUUGCCAUCAGAUGUGCCCAGAUGGGAUUAGCUAGUAGGUGGGGUAACGGCUCACCUAGGCGACGAUCCCUAGCUGGUCUGAGAGGAUGACCAGCCACACUGGAACUGAGACACGGUCCAGACUCCUACGGGAGGCAGCAGUGGGGAAUAUUGCACAAUGGGCGCAAGCCUGAUGCAGCCAUGCCGCGUGUAUGAAGAAGGCCUUCGGGUUGUAAAG